GAUGAACGCUGGCGGCGUGCCUAAUACAUGCAAGUGAAACGGCUAUGAUAGCAAUAUUGUAGCAGUCGCGAACGGGUGAGUAAUACAUAGGUAACCUGCCUUUAUGUGGGGGAUAACCGGGGGAAACUCUGACUAAUACCGCAUAAAAGACUCUAGGCAUCUAGAGAGAAUAAAAGUUGGAAUACAACGCAUAAAGAUGGACUUAUGGCGCAUUAGCUAGUUGGUGGGGUAGUGGCCCACCAAGGUGACGAUGCGUAGCCGGCCUGAGAGGGUGAACGGCCACAUUGGGACUGAGACACGGCCCAAACUCCUACGGGAGGCAGCAGUAGGGAAUUUUCGGCAAUGGGGGAAACCCUGACCGAGCAACGCCGCGUGAAUGAUGACGGC
This 387-nucleotide ribosomal RNA is filed under the name uncultured bacterium. Its description in RNAcentral is "bacterial SSU rRNA". It matches the Rfam family "Bacterial small subunit ribosomal RNA", at positions 28 to 415 of the family's 1533-position model. The record is from RNAcentral.